UAACCAUCUUCGUUACAUGAGAGAAAAAAAGAAAAAGAUAGGAGAGUUCAAAUUAAAGGUAAAAUCUUUUUAAAAAAAUGGAUUUGCACGUCUUUGGAAUUUUAUGCAUUGUUUUGGUCCUGACUUCAGGAGCAGUAACAUGUCUGGAUGAUGAUCCGGAGGAUCUGUUUUGUUUAGGACCAUGCUCACCAUUUUGCAACCAUGACUGCAUUGUCCGUGGCUAUAAAUACGGAGGCGCCUGUUUCGCAUAUAUUAUGUGUUGUUGUAAGAAGAAUUGAUCAUGACUACCACCAAUUUGCAACCAAGCAAGAAUAAUGCAACAACAGAUGAUAUAAGAAAAAAGUGCAUGCUUCUAUGGAAUUUGAUGUGUUUUAAUUUGUUGUAAGAAUAAUUGAAUAUUUUGUACCUCUAUCUAAAAUAAGGAAUUGAUCGAUCGUCUAAAACUGCAUGA
Long non-coding RNA from Glycine soja, 451 nucleotides. RefSeq lists it as uncharacterized. The record is from RefSeq and is a predicted model, not a curated record. The transcript has 2 exons. Lineage: Eukaryota; Viridiplantae; Streptophyta; Magnoliopsida; Fabales; Fabaceae.